This 698-nucleotide ribosomal RNA is filed under the name uncultured Alphaproteobacteria bacterium. RNAcentral's name for it is "bacterial SSU rRNA". It matches the Rfam family "Bacterial small subunit ribosomal RNA", at positions 30 to 776 of the family's 1533-position model. The record is from RNAcentral. Lineage: Bacteria; Pseudomonadati; Pseudomonadota; Alphaproteobacteria.
CGAACGCUGGCGGCAGGCCUAAUACAUGCAAGUCGAGCGCACCUUCGGGUGAGCGGCGGACGGGUGAGUAACGCGUGGGAACGUGCCCUUUGGUUCGGAACAACACAGGGAAACUUGUGCUAAUACCGAAUGUGCCCUUCGGGGGAAAGAUUUAUCGCCAUUGGAGCGGCCCGCGUUGGAUUAGCUAGUUGGUGGGGUAAAGGCCCACCAAGGCGACGAUCCAUAGCUGGUCUGAGAGGAUGAUCAGCCACACUGGGACUGAGACACGGCCCAGACUCCUACGGGAGGCAGCAGUAGGGAAUCUUGCGCAAUGGGCGAAAGCCUGACGCAGCCAUGCCGCGUGAAUGAUGAAGGUCUUAGGAUUGUAAAAUUCUUUCACCGGGGAAGAUAAUGACGGUACCCGGAGAAGAAGCCCCGGCUAACUUCGUGCCAGCAGCCGCGGUAAUACGAAGGGGGCUAGCGUUGCUCGGAAUUACUGGGCGUAAAGGGCGCGUAGGCGGACAGUUUAGUCAGAGGUGAAAGCCCAGGGCUCAACCUUGGAACUGCCUUUGAUACUGGCUGUCUUGAGUUCGGGAGAGGUGAGUGGAAUGCCGUGUGUAGAGGUGAAAUUCGUAGAUAUUCGGCGGAACACCAGUGGCGAAGGCGACUCACUGGCCCGAUACUGACGCUGAGGCGCGAAAGCGUGGGGAGCAAACAGG